UUCCUUAAGGAAAUUAGCCAGCUGCUGUGGUGUGGGGUAUUCCAUGGCUUGCGGUGUGGAUAUCUGCUCUGCAAUGGUCCUCUUCACAGACUACUCCAGUGCCUGAAAUACCUCCUUGCCCUCAUUCUUUUCUGAUGGCAUUCAUGCUACUAUUUCUCACUUUUUUUUUCUUACUUUGCUUGUCUGCUGUUUUAAAUAUGUUUUCAUAAAGGUGCCGACCACUUGGCUGCUGGGCUGAGCUUCUAGAAGGCACUUUUAUGGUUCAGAAUAAAUGAUGUUUUCAGAUUUCAGAAGAAAGAAGUAUUCUAUAACCUACAGUUCUUAUGGUUUGUAACCUAACAAAUACUGUUGUUGAGUAUAGGUGUAGCACAUUUAUCUUGAAUAUGCUGUCUUCUUUCCUUGAAUUAUUCUUAGUAUUUCAUUGUGGGACAAACAUUUUGAUCACUUCAAGAUCAUGUACAUUAUGUAGAAUGUAUGUGCAGUGAGUGUUAUUUAUAAAGCAGAGGUUCCAAUUUGCUAUUUUUACAGACAUCAUUUGGCUUUAUUAAUGACAGAUAAAAUACUUUUACAAUGUUCUCUGCCAAAACACUGCCACUUGCUAUUCCUUUUCUACCUUUUGUUCCCUCCCCACUCAGACACAUGCUUCCUCUUCUGAUUUUUUUUUCUCCUAUUAUGCCAGUAAGCCUUACAUUUUUUCAGUUUGCUUGCUGGGAAAAUGUGAGCACACUUGAUUCCUGUGAGUUCUCAGGUGCUCUCACGUGGUAGGUGAUGGCUGAAGCCAGAGUUCAUCCAGCGUCAGGGAUGUUGACACAAGUUUCACUACAUGGCGUAGCACUACUCUGUCACAAAGGUAAUUCAGUCUUUGCUAGAAAAAGAAGAAUCAAACUGAAGAGCGAAGAGGUUUUUAUCACUUAAACAUUUCUUCAAUGAGAGUGUGAAAAUGAGGGAGCCUUGCUUUUUGUUUUCUUGAGCAAAACAAAACAGUGAUGAACCAGAAAGUUGCAGCAAAGUUGUUUCUUUUAAAAUACAUUUCCAAUGGAAAUAAAGCAUUGCUUAAAUACAAAUAAUCUAUAACUGACUAGUUACAAAACGAGUUCUAGCAGAAACUGGAAAUUGUUCAAUAAUAUUCAAUAAUGCUGCUUAGUGACACAAAGCAUGCAUCAUGGUAACGCGGAACAGUUACUAAACUACUCUUCAGGAUAAAUGAUGUGAUGGAGGAUAUUAAAUUAUUUAAUUUGGAGUUAGGAGAUAACGACAAUCUCUGCUACUCUUCCGUGUUGAGAUCUUGAACAAUUUGCUGAGUCUGGAUCUUUCCUAGACAAAUAUUAGAUGGUUUCAGAACAGUGGCUGUGUGCUACCAGGUUCUGAGCCUUUUGCCUUCAUUUCACUUAAAUGUUACAAAACACGUGAGUACAUGAACUUAAGUAUUUAGAAUUUAUAAAAUCUAACAUGUCUGUUGGUCAUGAUCUCUAGCUCAUUAUAGGGCAAAAGUGAGAUGACAACACACACAAAUAAGCUUGAUAAGUUUUUCUUUUUUUUUUUUUUUUUGGUAUUGGAUUUGCAGCAGUGCAUAUUUGUUGCAUACUACCAAAGUGCAUAGAAACUCUGAAAAUGUUGUAUGUUUGUUUUAAUGAUCGUAACUUUUCAUUUGCUGUAUUCAGCCUGAUAAAAUGGGUGAUUUGCCAUGUCUUUAAAGUGUUAAGAUACUGAAUGCCUUUUUCAAAAUCUUUUGUAUUUUAUCUGCGUAAAACUAAUUACUCUUCUUGCAAAUCAAUACAAAAUAAAACUAUUAAGUCAACAAGGAACAUACAGUGAUAAUUCUCAGUUUACCCUGCAAUUUUAUACUACUGCUCUGGCAGUUGCCAGUUGCCUGGAGACUUGCCUGAGACUCCUGUGGGAAGUCCUGAUCCUGCAGUUGGCUUUUUGGGCAUGGUGACAAUGCUUUGCUCUGCUCCUGGGCACUGUACACAACCCUUCCCAUCUCCUAACUGCUCAGUUGCGGGUGAAGUUGGAUAGAUAGCAAGUCGUGCUCCCUAAAAGUGUAUCCUUAUCUUGCUCUGAAGUUAGGAGGUUUUACUACUUUUGUAGCCUGCAGCAACCACUGUUUUUCAGCACAAGCACCCAAAGCUAUUAGAUGUUGAUAAUAAUUCAUUAUUUUAUAUAAUCGCUAGCACUUGGAAAAUCUGUGUGUCUAAUCUGCCCUUCAGAGAGGAAUCCAUUUUAUGGUUUUAGUCUACCUGUUCUGAUUGUUGGGAUAGAAGUUUUGGGACAAAACAUUUGAUUUAAAAAAAAGUUUUAUAGGAAUGUUUUUUAAAGUUAUUCAUUCUGUAAUAUGAAUACUUAUUUAUUCUAGCUGGAAUAUGAACAACAAAUACAACUUCAGCCUUUGGUGGACUUGGCUUAAGGUUUGAAACACUGCUUUGACUUUACUGACAAAAACAACUGGUUAUAUUAAAUUUGGACCUGCUGCAGUAAGAUGAUAAAUUUUGAAAUUGUUAAAAUUUGUGCUGUGAAGAAUAAGUUUGGCAUUUGGGUCUAAAUGCAACAUGGUUCUCAAACAUUGUAGACUGUAGAUGCAAUGAAACCCUCAAACGCAAACACUGCAGGAGGAGGAAAUAUGGCAAAGGAUACUGGCAAGAAAGAAAAAUGGUAUUUUUAAAUAUUUGCUGAAGACUGCACUUGAUUUACUGAGAUAGUUCUCACUGGUAAGGUGAGAAGGGAUUUUUUUUUCUUUUAUACUUAAACACAUUGAAUAGCAUCAACUGAUCUGCAAGUGUUACUGUAUACGUGCUUGCCUACAAAAAAAAUAAACCUGUC
Molecule: long non-coding RNA, 2817 nt
Organism: Oxyura jamaicensis (ruddy duck)
Lineage: Eukaryota; Metazoa; Chordata; Aves; Anseriformes; Anatidae
Exons: 2
Source: RefSeq, a predicted model, not a curated record